Long non-coding RNA from Hypanus sabinus (Atlantic stingray), 1028 nucleotides. RefSeq lists it as uncharacterized. NCBI's taxonomy places the organism in Eukaryota, Metazoa, Chordata, Chondrichthyes, Myliobatiformes, Dasyatidae. The transcript is spliced from 3 exons. The record is from RefSeq and is a predicted model, not a curated record.
GUUCACUUCCUAUGAUCUUGGUUUAUUUAGGAUCUCAUUAUCAACAUUUCAGCUGUCUAUCUGUCUACAGCCAGCAACAAAAAAUCGGAUCCAAUAUUUUACACUCGCGCUCUAUGGCCGGGCAUCCCGGUAGCACUUCAGUCUCCAAGGGGAAACAAAGAUAUAGAUCUCGCCUUUCCUAAUCUACGCCACAUCCCCGGAGUCCAUCCAUUACCUAGGAACGGGGCGAAGCAGAAGGAUGACUCUAAGUAAAUAACCGCGUCACUGGGCCACUUUGUAGCUGCCGCACUGUUAUCUCAGCCAGGGCAGAACUGACUCCAAACGAGGAUACUUGGAAGCAACAAAAAUGAAAUUUUAUACGGUCCCGGUGGGUUGUGAUCCUAAUCCAACCUGAAGAACAUGACGUUUUCCCAAGUGCGCCGAUCAACGUAACAACAUAACUUAAAAAUGAGACGCAAGAGAGCGCAGAUGCUGGAAUACGGAGUAAAAAUAAAAUCAAACGGCUGGAGUAACUCGGUGGGUCAAACAACAUCGGGGGGGGGGAUGAAGCAAAACAUCAUCUGGUCAUUAUUAAACCAAUUUGUGGAAGCAUACGUUGGAUAAAUUGACUGACAUUUCUCAUCAAUUAUAACAGUGAACGCCUUCCAUAAGUAUUUCAAUGUCUGUAUUUUGGAAUCUCCUAAUAGAAACAUGUCUACAUUAGUGGGAGUCUAUCUUCUUAAAGCAUAUCAUGACUGUACUGAAGACUAAUUAUGCCAUUGCAUUCCUGUUUCUCUCUCUCUCUCUCUCUCUCUCUCUCUCUCUCUCUCUCUCUCUCAUAGAUUAUUUUACUGAACAAACAAAACAUUUUAAACAGUCAUUGGCUUCCUAUUAUCAUAGCUUGAGAUGCUCUUUCCUUUUACAGAACAAACAGGUAAUUUGUAGCAAAUUUAAAUUGAGGUAUUUCAAUAAAUCUGGAAUUGAAGCUGGUCCUAGCAAAUUUUAUCAUUAACUAAUAUACUAUUGUUAAACCCAGGUGUUUCUUUCAC